Molecule: ribosomal RNA, 253 nt
Filed under: uncultured bacterium
Lineage: Bacteria
Description: partial 16S ribosomal RNA
Rfam family: Bacterial small subunit ribosomal RNA
Source: RNAcentral
UACGGGGGGAACGAGCGUUGUUCGGAUUUACUGGGCGUAAAGGGCACGCAGGCGGGGAGACAAGUCAGAUGUGAAAACCCAUAGCUUAACUCUGGGCCUGCAUUUGAUACUGUUUCUCUUGAGUACGGGAGAGGAUGGCGGAAUUCUUGGUGUAGCGGUGAAAUGCGUAGAUAUCAAGAAGAACACCGGUGGCGAAGGCGGCCAUCUGGCCCGAUACUGACGCUCAUGUGCGAAGGCAAGGGGAGCAAACAGG